GACGAACGCUGGCGGCGUGCUUAACACAUGCAAGUCGAACGGAAAGGCCCUGCUUUUGUGGGGUGCUCGAGUGGCGAACGGGUGAGUAACACGUGAGUAACCUGCCCUUGACUUUGGGAUAACUUCAGGAAACUGGGGCUAAUACCGGAUAGGAGCUCCUGCUGCAUGGGGGGGGUUGGAAAGUUUCGGCGGUGGGGGAUGGACUCGCGGCUUAUCAGCUUGUUGGGGGGGUAGUGGCUUACCAAGGCUUUGAAGGGUAGCCGGCCUGAGAGGGUGACCGGCCACAUUGGGACUGCGAUACGGCCCAGACUCCUACGGGAGGCAGCAGUGGGGAAUAUUGCACAAUGGGCGGAAGCCUGAUGCAGCAACGCCGCGUGCGGGAUGACGGCCUUCGGGUUGUAAACCGCUUUCGCCUGUGACGAAGCGUGAGUGACGGUAAUGGGUAAAGAAGCACCGGCUAACUACGUG
Molecule: ribosomal RNA, 468 nt
Filed under: uncultured bacterium
Lineage: Bacteria
Description: partial 16S ribosomal RNA
Rfam family: Bacterial small subunit ribosomal RNA
Source: RNAcentral